CCUACGGGAGGCAGCAGUGGGGAAUAUUGCACAAUGGGCGCAAGCCUGAUGCAGCCAUGCCGCGUGUGUGAAGAAGGCCUUCGGGUUGUAAAGCACUUUCAGCGGGGAGGAAGGCGGUGAGGUUAAUAACCUCAUCGAUUGACGUUACCCGCAGAAGAAGCACCGGCUAACUCCGUGCCGGCAGCCGCGGUAAUACGGAGGGUGCAAGCGUUAAUCGGAAUUACUGGGCGUAAAGCGCACGCAGGCGGUCUGUCAAGUCGGAUGUGAAAUCCCCGGGCUCAACCUGGGAACUGCAUUCGAAACUGGCAGGCUAGAGUCUUGUAGAGGGGGGUAGAAUUCCAGGUGUAGCGGUGAAAUGCGUAGAGAUCUGGAGGAAUACCGGUGGCGAAGGCGGCCCUCUGGACAAAGACUGACGCUCAGGUGCGAAAGCGUGGGGAGCAAACAGGAUUAGAUACCCCAGUAGUC
Molecule: ribosomal RNA, 465 nt
Filed under: uncultured Klebsiella sp.
Lineage: Bacteria; Pseudomonadati; Pseudomonadota; Gammaproteobacteria; Enterobacterales; Enterobacteriaceae
Description: bacterial SSU rRNA
Rfam family: Bacterial small subunit ribosomal RNA
Source: RNAcentral